CCUACGGGGGGCAGCAGUGGGGAAUAUUGGGCAAUGGGCGCAAGCCUGACCCAGCAACGCCGCGUGAAGGAAGAAGGAUUUCGGGUUGUAAACCUCUUUUAUCAGGGACGAAGCAAACGACGGUAGCUGACGAAUAAGCCACGGCUAACUACCUGCCAGCCGCCGCGGUAAUACGUAGGUGGGAAGCGUUAUGCGGAUUUACUGGGUGUAAAGGGGGAGUAGGCGGGGAAGCAAGUCUGAGGUGAAAACCACGGGAUCAACCUGUGAACUGCUUUUGAAACUGUUUUGCUUGAGUGUUGGAGAGGCAAGCGGAAUUCCUGGUGUAGCGGUGAAAUGCGUAGAUAUACGGAGGAACACCAGUGGCGAAGGCGGAUUGCUGGACAAUAACUGACGCUGAGGCGCGAAAGCGUGGGGAGCAAACAGGAUUAGAUACCCCUGUAGUC
Molecule: ribosomal RNA, 443 nt
Filed under: uncultured bacterium
Lineage: Bacteria
Description: partial 16S ribosomal RNA
Rfam family: Bacterial small subunit ribosomal RNA
Source: RNAcentral